RNAcentral lists this ribosomal RNA (432 nucleotides) under uncultured bacterium. RNAcentral describes it as "partial 16S ribosomal RNA". It matches the Rfam family "Bacterial small subunit ribosomal RNA", at positions 28 to 507 of the family's 1533-position model. The record is from RNAcentral.
GAUGAACGCUGGCGGUAUGCUUAACACAUGCAAGUCGAACGGUACCUUCGGGGAUAGUGGCGGACGGGUGAGUAACGCGUGAGAAUCUAUCUUCAGGUCGGGGACAACAGUUAGAAAUGACUGCUAAUACCGGAUGUGCCGAAAGGUAAAAGAUUUAUUGCCUGAAAAAGAGCUCGCGUCAGAUUAGCUAGUAGGUGGUGUAAGAGACUACCUAGGCUUCGAUCUGUAGCUGGUCUGAGAGGACGAUCAGCCACACUGGAACUGAGACACGGUCCAGACUCCUACGGGAGGCAGCAGUGGGGAAUUUUCCGCAAUGGGCGAAAGCCUGACGGAGCAAUACCGCGUGAGGGACGAAGGCUCUUGGGUCGUAAACCUCUUUUCUCAAGGAAGAUUCAGACGGUACUUGAGGAAUAAGCAGCGGCUAACUCUGUG